AGGAAAUAAAGAGGCAUGUUCUGAGUUAGAGGCAGGGUCAGGCGAUUCAACCAGACUUAGAGUGAGAAAGGACAGGAUUACAGAUUUUUGCGUGUUCUAUUUUUUCAAUAGUGCCAGAUUUGGCUUCCAAUACUCAGAUAUUCAGGGGCAGGGUUAUUUCCAAGUAGAGAAGGUAUCUCAAGAUUUCUUCAGUCCCCGAGUCACAGUAUCUCUUCUGUUUGCAUAACCAAAGACAGAGAGAUCAUCAGACAUAAAUUCUGUACAG
Molecule: long non-coding RNA, 265 nt
Organism: Argentina anserina (silverweed cinquefoil)
Lineage: Eukaryota; Viridiplantae; Streptophyta; Magnoliopsida; Rosales; Rosaceae
Exons: 3
Source: RefSeq, a predicted model, not a curated record